Molecule: non-coding RNA, 1398 nt
Organism: Notechis scutatus (mainland tiger snake)
Lineage: Eukaryota; Metazoa; Chordata; Lepidosauria; Squamata; Elapidae
Source: RefSeq, a predicted model, not a curated record
UAACACUCAUUUAGAAAAACCUAAACAGUACUAAUAUCCAUAAACCUAUGUGAAGUUGAUUAUCUUUACACAAACAUGCAAAAUGCACUAUAAAAAUUUCAAUUGUGCUUAAUUUUGUUUGUAGAGCCAGAAUGAAGACUGGGGAGGUUUGUCUGAGGAUAUCUUAUGAUUAAGGACAAUCUAAAGCCUUAGCGCUUUGGCCCCUACCUGUACAAUUGCCACGUCAUGAAUACUUUAAUGUCCCAGUAUACUAAAUGACUUCAUUCAUCAUGCACACAGAGAGGCGCUAGAACUGAUUUUCUCAUGGCAGAACGCUUUUCCUCAGCUUGGUGAAUCCAAUCAUCCUGAACAAGCUAGUGUAUAUCACAAUUGUGUGUUUUGUUUUUGCUGUUUGUAUUUUUCCUUGUCCUUCCAUUUGCAGUGUUUGUUUUUCUUCAUAUGUUUUGUCAGCAUGCUGUAAUGUUCAUGUUAAAAUAUUUAAAUCUAUCUCAUUAGUACUUGACAUAGCAUGUAAAACUUUAGCUUCAAAUACUUUGCUUAGCCUCACUAUAUCAUUUAAAUAUUCAACCCCAUGGUAUGGUAGUCUGUCAAAAUGUAUAUAAAUCUAAUUUAUGUAGCUAUCACAUAGAAAUCCACUGAUAUUAACUUAUACACUUUAUCCCACUAAACAAAAUGUUUUCUAAGUAGCGCCUUCUAAACGUAUCAUGAAAAACAACCCUGAAGGCCCCAAAUUGUGAUAUAUGUAUAUUAAACAGAUUUGUUUCACUGCUAAAUAAGUUUAAAAAAUAAGCACAUUGAUCUUGCAUUCUCUAAAGUGUGCAUAAGGUAUUUCUUCUGCAUGUAGUCUUUCAUUAAUUUCAAUAUUUUAGAGUAGAUUUAUAUGGAUAUCUUCAAUGCAUGUAUGGAGCUGAACCUAAUGUUACAAUAGCAAUAAAAAUGUUCAUAAAUGUACAGAAGCCACUACCAAACCCUCCUGAUUUUAUUCUAAAACAAAAAGUCAUAAUAAAAAGAGAGACAUGACUGUUGUUACAAAGUUAGACUUUCAAAAUGGUAGUUAAAAAAGAAAAUGGUUUCUGCAUAUAAUUAAGUAUAGAUACAGCAUAUUAGAGACAGUCGUCAUUUCAAGCACAGGAUUAACAUUACUUCCCAUUACAUCUGGGAGGCAUGCAAGAAGCGUUUAUAUUGCAGAUCUCUCUCUCCCUCUCUGAAUGUAUAUGGUAUUGCUUCUGUGAACGUACAUGGUAAAUGCUGCUUUGCAUUCUUUUAAUGUCUGGCUCUUCAAACUGCUGCAAAUGGAGUGCUGAUAGUGGUGCAGUAUUGUUGUACCUUUAUGUAGCUGCAUGCUUGUAAAUUACUGUGGAUUUUUUUGCGCAUGACUGUAAUAAACUAUUGCAUGCA